UGCAGUCGAACGAGAAAAAUUCCUUCGGGGAUUUAGUAAAGUGGCGCAAGGGUGAGUAACACGUGAAUAAUCUGCCCUCGAGAUCGGGAUAACAUGGUGAAAACUAUGCUAAUACCGGAUAAGACCACAUUUCAAAAGAAAUGCGGGAAAAGGAGUCUCAACCUUCACUCGAGGAUGAGUUCGCGCAACAUUAGCUUGUUGGUGAGAUAAAAGCUCACCAAGGCUACGAUGUUUAGCCGGCCUGAGAGGGUGAUCGGCCACACUGGAACUGAGACACGGUCCAGACUCCUACGGGAGGCAGCAGUGGGGAAUAUUGCGCAAUGGGCGAAAGCCUGACGCAGCAACGCCGUGUGAGCGAUGAAGGCUUUAGGGUUGUAAAGCUCUGUCAAAUGGGAAGAAUUAUGACGGUACCAUUAGAGGAAGCCCCGGCUAACUCCGUGCCAGCAGCCGCGGUAAUACGGAGGGGGCAAGCGUUGUUCGGAAUUAUUGGGCGUAAAGCGUAUGUAGGCGGCAAAGUAAGUCAGGCGUGCAAGCCCGUGGCUCAACCACGGAAUUGCGUUUGAAACUACUUAGCUUGAGUACAGGAGAGGAAAGCGGAAUUCCCAGUGUAGCGGUGAAAUGCAUUGAUAUUGGGAAGGACAUCUGUGGCGAAGGCGGCUUUCUGGUCUGUUACUGACGCUGA
Molecule: ribosomal RNA, 682 nt
Filed under: uncultured bacterium
Lineage: Bacteria
Description: bacterial SSU rRNA
Rfam family: Bacterial small subunit ribosomal RNA
Source: RNAcentral